AGCAUCAGAUCCUAGUCAAUGUUGUCGGCAUCAAGGAAAAGUAGAGACUUUUUUGCACAAGAAAAUUUGAAUCACAUAAAACUGUUUUCUCAUGGUAAUAUCUGAAGCUUACAGUGACCUUAACCUUAUUGAUACUGCACUUCCAAAGCACCAGAUAGACAGACAGCUUCUUCUUGUUUUCCAAACUAAGGUUUUACUCUCUUUUGUGCAGAUUGUUCAAGAUAUUCCUACA
This 232-nucleotide unclassified non-coding RNA is filed under the name Hevea brasiliensis (rubber tree). The record is from RNAcentral. Lineage: Eukaryota; Viridiplantae; Streptophyta; Magnoliopsida; Malpighiales; Euphorbiaceae.